AGCUCAUUAUAUCAGUUAUAGUUUAUUUGAUGGUACCCUUACCACAUGGAUAACCGUAGUAAUUCUAGAGCUAAUACAUGCCCAGAAACGGCGGCUUCGGAAGCCGUGGACUUAUUAGAUCAAAGCCAACCCUGGUUCGCCAGGCCCAAGCUGAAUCAUAGUAAUUUUGCUGAUCGCAGAGGCAUUUUGCCGGCGAUGGGUCAUUCAAAUUUCUGCCCUAUCAGCUGUGAUGUUAGUGUAGUGGACUAACAUGGCAUAAACGGGUGACGGAGGAUUAGGGUCUGAUUCCGGAGAGGGAGCCUGAGAAAUGGCUACCACUUCCAAGGAAGGCAGCAGGCGCGUAAAUUACCCAAUCCCGACACGGGGAGGUAGUGACAAGAAAUAACAAUACCGGGUCUUUUCAGAUUUGGUAAUUGGAAUGAGUACAAUUUAAAACCCUUAACAAGGAACAAUUGGAGGGCAAGUCUGGUGCCAGCAGCCGCGGUAAUACCAGCUCCAAUAGCGUAUAUUAAAGUUGUUGCAGUUAAAAGGCUCGUAGUCGAACUUUUAGCCUCUCGUUCCAUGUCCCGCGGCUCAGGCUGCGUCGUGACGUGGCGAAGGCUUUCCUGGUGGAAAGCGUUUCUGCCCUUCAUUGGGUUGGUCUCGUAAUCCAUCUCUUUUACUGUGAGAAAAACAAAGUGCUCAAAGCAGGCUUUACAGCUUGAAUGCGUUAGCAUGGAAUAAUAAGAUAGGACUUUGAUUCUAUUUUGUUGGCUCUGAGAAACAAAGUAAUGAUUGAUAGGGAUAGUUGGGGGUGCUCGUAUUUAACGGUCAGCGGUGAAAUGCAUGGACCCGUUAAAGACGAACUUAUGCGAAAGCAUUCACCAAGGAUAUCUUCUUUGAUCAAGAACGAAAGUUGGGGGAUCGAAGACGAUCAGAUACCGUCGUAGUCUCAACCAUAAACUAUGCCGACUAGGGAUUGGCGGCAGUUGAUUAUGACCCCGUCAGCACCUUAUGAGAAAUCAAAGUCUCUGGGUUCUGGGGGGAGUAUGGUCGCAAGGCUGAAACUUAAAGGAAUUGACGGAAGGGCACCACCAGGAGUGG
RNAcentral lists this ribosomal RNA (1083 nucleotides) under uncultured Cercozoa. RNAcentral describes it as "bacterial SSU rRNA". It matches the Rfam family "Eukaryotic small subunit ribosomal RNA", at positions 95 to 1179 of the family's 1831-position model. Lineage: Eukaryota; Cercozoa. The record is from RNAcentral.